This 1372-nucleotide ribosomal RNA is filed under the name uncultured bacterium. RNAcentral describes it as "bacterial SSU rRNA". It matches the Rfam family "Bacterial small subunit ribosomal RNA", at positions 28 to 1381 of the family's 1533-position model. The record is from RNAcentral.
GAUGAACGCUGGCGGCGUGCCUAAUACAUGCAAGUCGAGCGAACGGACGAGAAGCUUGCUUCUCUGAUGUUAGCGGCGGACGGGUGAGUAACACGUGGAUAACCUACCUAUAAGACUGGGAUAACUUCGGGAAACCGGAGCUAAUACCGGAUAAUAUUUUGAACCGCAUGGUUCAAAAGUGAAAGACGGUCUUGCUGUCACUUAUAGAUGGAUCCGCGCUGCAUUAGCUAGUUGGUAAGGUAACGGCUUACCAAGGCAACGAUGCAUAGCCGACCUGAGAGGGUGAUCGGCCACACUGGAACUGAGACACGGUCCAGACUCCUACGGGAGGCAGCAGUAGGGAAUCUUCCGCAAUGGGCGAAAGCCUGACGGAGCAACGCCGCGUGAGUGAUGAAGGUCUUCGGAUCGUAAAACUCUGUUAUUAGGGAAGAACAUAUGUGUAAGUAACUGUGCACAUCUUGACGGUACCUAAUCAGAAAGCCACGGCUAACUACGUGCCAGCAGCCGCGGUAAUACGUAGGUGGCAAGCGUUAUCCGGAAUUAUUGGGCGUAAAGCGCGCGUAGGCGGUUUUUUAAGUCUGAUGUGAAAGCCCACGGCUCAACCGUGGAGGGUCAUUGGAAACUGGAAAACUUGAGUGCAGAAGAGGAAAGUGGAAUUCCAUGUGUAGCGGUGAAAUGCGCAGAGAUAUGGAGGAACACCAGUGGCGAAGGCGACUUUCUGGUCUGUAACUGACGCUGAUGUGCGAAAGCGUGGGGAUCAAACAGGAUUAGAUACCCUGGUAGUCCACGCCGUAAACGAUGAGUGCUAAGUGUUAGGGGGUUUCCGCCCCUUAGUGCUGCAGCUAACGCAUUAAGCACUCCGCCUGGGGAGUACGACCGCAAGGUUGAAACUCAAAGGAAUUGACGGGGACCCGCACAAGCGGUGGAGCAUGUGGUUUAAUUCGAAGCAACGCGAAGAACCUUACCAAAUCUUGACAUCCUUUGACAACUCUAGAGAUAGAGCCUUCCCCUUCGGGGGACAAAGUGACAGGUGGUGCAUGGUUGUCGUCAGCUCGUGUCGUGAGAUGUUGGGUUAAGUCCCGCAACGAGCGCAACCCUUAAGCUUAGUUGCCAUCAUUAAGUUGGGCACUCUAAGUUGACUGCCGGUGACAAACCGGAGGAAGGUGGGGAUGACGUCAAAUCAUCAUGCCCCUUAUGAUUUGGGCCACACACGUGCUACAAUGGACAAUACAAAGGGCAGCGAAACCGUGAGGUCAAGCAAAUCCCAUAAAGUUGUUCUCAGUUCGGAUUGUAGUCUGCAACUCGACUACAUGAAGCUGGAAUCGCUAGUAAUCGUAGAUCAGCAUGCUACGGUGAAUACGUUCCCGGGUCU